RNAcentral lists this transfer RNA (64 nucleotides) under Erotides cosnardi. Its description in RNAcentral is "tRNA-Asp". The record is from RNAcentral. Lineage: Eukaryota; Metazoa; Arthropoda; Insecta; Coleoptera; Lycidae.
GAAAGUUUAGUUAAACUAAUAACGUCAGCCAGUCAAGCUCAAAUUAUACCAAAUAUACCUUUCU